RNAcentral lists this ribosomal RNA (253 nucleotides) under uncultured bacterium. RNAcentral describes it as "partial 16S ribosomal RNA". It matches the Rfam family "Bacterial small subunit ribosomal RNA", at positions 524 to 776 of the family's 1533-position model. The record is from RNAcentral.
UACGUAGGUGGCAAGCGUUGUUCGGAAUUACUGGGCGUAAAGCGCGCGUAGGCGGCUCUUCAAGUCAGGCGUGAAAGCCCCGGGCUUAACUCGGGAACUGCGUUUGAUACUGUCGAGCUAGAGUGUGGAAGGGGCGAUUGGAAUUCCGUGUGUAGCGGUGAAAUGCGUAGAUAUACGGAGGAACACCAGAGGCGAAGGCGGAUCGCUGGGCCAACACUGACGCUGAUGUGCGAAAGCGAGGGGAGCAAACGGG